AGUUAUAACAAGUGUAUCGUACUAUAAAAUCAACAACGGCCAACAACUAUUGUCAACGAGAGUACAAGAUUACUUUUUGCAAGAUCUACUACGAAAAUAGAUCUAAGUCAUUUGACACCUGUUCAAUCGCUACAAGCCUAUUCAAAUAUUUAACGACGAGCGCGUAGAAAGCAUUACCUACAGUAAUGUAUUUGAAUUGUAUUAUUUUUUACUUAUUCUACGUUAUUUUAUUAUUGCUUGGAAGUUUAUCACAGUUACCAAAGGGACCUAUCAGACCAUCGGGACCGUCAACACCACCACCAUAAUGAAGAAAUAACUCGUGUAUGAUGAUUCUAGUGAACUAAUAAACGAAAUGAGACGGCGAAAAUACAAUCAAACAAUAAUAAUCAAUUUAAUGAAAGUAAAGUAAAAUAGAAUUCGAUUAAUAACUUCAAAACCUUUUCAAAAUCGAUUACUAUUAAUAAGAUGUUAUGUGUUUAUUUCGCUUCGAUUGGAAAUUGUAUUUUUCACUGUUUCGUUUAGUAUUGUAAUAAUAUGUCAUAGCAGUUUUUUUUUUUUUUUUUUAAUCUACUUUUAUUCUUGAUUCUCAUGGUUAUUGGGUGCCAUACACACAAAAAAUCCAAGUAUUUUGAGUGUUAAACUACUCAUAAAAUUGCGUUUAAAUCUCCUGAAAAAUAUAAUUUGAUUUGCUGUAAAAGUGUAUCGUACUGUAAUGAUAUGCUCACACAACAUUGUCAAUCAAUGUAUAUUGCAAUCGAGUUGUCACUACCGUCCAACGAUUUCAAGAGGACAGUUAUAUAGUUUAUUUUGUUUUAAUCACAAAGUACGGUCUAUAAUGAACCUCCUGUUAAAUUUCAAAAUACGGUAAUUAGAUGUAAGUGAUUAUAUAGGUACAAUAAGUUAGCACAAAUAAAUAUUUUAAUGGCAGAAUUAGUUUAAGAUAGCAAAUUAAUAAUUAGAAUUAUACAGACAAUAUAGUUAACUAGUACAGUAAAACUUCCGUUUACGGUCAUCUCUAAACACAGCCACCUCUGUGUAACUGUCAUUUGUUUUUGUCCCGUCACAAGUGUUAUGCCUCUAUAGGAAACCUCUAAAGACCGGUCACCUUUAAAUAGCGGUUAUUAUUUAAGGUCCCUUAGGUCACCGUUAUAUGGAAGUUUUACUGUAUUUAAAUAAAAAUAAAAUAGUGGCCUAAAAACUAAUUGUUAUUUGUAGAUACAAAAUGCGCCUG
Molecule: non-coding RNA, 1231 nt
Organism: Cinara cedri
Lineage: Eukaryota; Metazoa; Arthropoda; Insecta; Hemiptera; Aphididae
Source: the annotation of a GenBank genome assembly